ACCUUCGGGCCUCAUGCCAUCAGAUGUGCCCAGAUGGGAUUAGCUAGUAGGUGGGGUAACGGCUCACCUAGGCGACGAUCCCUAGCUGGUCUGAGAGGAUGACCAGCCACACUGGAACUGAGACACGGUCCAGACUCCUACGGGAGGCAGCAGUGGGGAAUAUUGCACAAUGGGCGCAAGCCUGAUGCAGCCAUGCCGCGUGUGUGAAGAAGGCCUUCGGGUUGUAAA
This 228-nucleotide ribosomal RNA is filed under the name Klebsiella pneumoniae. Its description in RNAcentral is "partial 16S ribosomal RNA". It matches the Rfam family "Bacterial small subunit ribosomal RNA", at positions 199 to 429 of the family's 1533-position model. The record is from RNAcentral. Lineage: Bacteria; Pseudomonadati; Pseudomonadota; Gammaproteobacteria; Enterobacterales; Enterobacteriaceae.